UUGGAGGGCAAGUCUGGUGCCAGCAGCCGCGGUAAUUCCAGCUCCAAUAGCGUAUAUUAAAGUUGUUGCAGUUAAAAAGCUCGUAGUUGAAUUUCGGGGUUUAUACGUUGGUCGGGCUUUUGGGUCUGUACUGGCGUAAUGAAUUCCUACCUUCUGAAUAACCAGCAUGUCAUUAAUUUGAUGCGCCGGGGAAGCAGGACUGUUACCUUGAAAAAAUUAGAGUGUUUAAAGCAAGCUAACGCUUGAAUACAUUAGCAUGGAAUAAUGAAAUAGGACGUUCGAUCCUAUUUUGUUGGUUUCUAGGAUUGACGUAAUGAUUAAUAGGGAUAGUUGGGGGCAUUAGUAUUCAAUUGUCAGAGGUGAAAUUCUUGGAUUUAUUGAAGACUAACUACUGCGAAAGCAUUUGCCAAGGAUGUUUUCAUUAAUCAGGAACGAAAGUUAGGGGAUCGAAGACGAUCAGAUACCGUCGUAGUCUUAACCAUAAACUAUGCCGACUAGGGAUCGGACGAUGUUAAUUUUUUAAUGACUCGUUCGGCGCCUUACGGGAAAC
This 550-nucleotide ribosomal RNA is filed under the name uncultured Acaulospora. Its description in RNAcentral is "SSU rRNA". It matches the Rfam family "Eukaryotic small subunit ribosomal RNA", at positions 548 to 1098 of the family's 1831-position model. Lineage: Eukaryota; Fungi; Glomeromycota; Glomeromycetes; Diversisporales; Acaulosporaceae. The record is from RNAcentral.